UACGGAGGGUGCAAGCGUUAUCCGGAUUCACUGGGUUUAAAGGGUGCGUAGGUGGGCAAGUAAGUCAGUGGUGAAAUCCCCGAGCUUAACUUGGGAACUGCCAUUGAUACUAUUGAUCUUGAAUACCGUGGAGGUCAGCGGAAUAUGUCAUGUAGCGGUGAAAUGCUUAGAUAUGACAUAGAACACCAAUUGCGAAGGCAGCUGGCUACGCGAAUAUUGACACUGAUGCACGAAAGCGUGGGGAUCAAACAGG
Molecule: ribosomal RNA, 253 nt
Filed under: uncultured bacterium
Lineage: Bacteria
Description: partial 16S ribosomal RNA
Rfam family: Bacterial small subunit ribosomal RNA
Source: RNAcentral